Molecule: ribosomal RNA, 253 nt
Filed under: uncultured bacterium
Lineage: Bacteria
Description: partial 16S ribosomal RNA
Rfam family: Bacterial small subunit ribosomal RNA
Source: RNAcentral
UACAGAGGGUGCGAGCGUUAAUCGGAAUUACUGGGCGUAAAGCGCACGUAGGCGGCUUUGCAAGUCGGGUGUGAAAUCCCCGGGCUCAACCUGGGAACUGCAUCCGAGACUGCAUUGCUCGAGUAUGGGAGAGGGAAGUGGAAUUUCCGGUGUAGCGGUGAAAUGCGUAGAUAUCGGAAGGAACAUCAGUGGCGAAAGCGGCUUCCUGGACCAGUACCGACGUUCAGGCACGAAAGCGUGGGGAGCAAACAGG